This 1192-nucleotide long non-coding RNA is filed under the name Oncorhynchus mykiss (rainbow trout). Its description in RNAcentral is "lncRNA (ENSOMYG00000069262.1)". Lineage: Eukaryota; Metazoa; Chordata; Actinopteri; Salmoniformes; Salmonidae. The record is from RNAcentral.
AUGUGUGUGUGUGUGUGUCUCUCUCUCUCUCUCUCCUCUGCCACCAUACCUGCACUGCCUUCAGAUGGAGAGUUCUCCAGCCUGGCUAAAGAUGAAUUGGGGAACUUAAAUCUGGAGAGUUUCAUCAGGGAGUUUCCCCAGAACAGAUACAACUGUUCCUCUCACCAGGGCACAGGAUUGAUCUCAGGAAACUUCUGUUACUCCUCCCCUCUCCCGGAACACCACUACCUGGCCACACCCACCAGCUGGACCUCUGACCGCCCCCCACGACCCAAGAGCCCCUGGGGCUGCCUAGACCCUUACACCUCUGAGGUAAUUUAGCUACGGCCUAAAGCCAAAUUUAUUCCUUAAGGAAGUAAACACAGAAAGACCCAAUUGGCAUCACAAAAUUGCGACCCUGUGUAGUUGCGUCGAGCUACAAAUUGCGGGGUUGCACAUGUCUACAUAUUUUUGCUAUGCAAGUAUGCAGAACAGCCAUUUUGUGUAGUUGUGUUAUUGCGUUGCGUACUUGUGUAAGUUCACAAUUAGGCUUUAGGCACAGCGUAGGGUUGCACAUUUUGGGGAAUAUUCAGAGGUGGAAACUUUCCGUGGGAAUUAACGGGAAUACAGUUGAAGUCAGAGGUUUACAUACACUUAGGUUGGAGUCAUUAAAACUAUUUUUUCAACCACUCCACAAAUUUCUUGUUAACAAACUAUAGUUUUGGCAAUUCGGUUAGGAUAUCUACUUUGUGCAUGAUACAAGUAAUUUUUCUAACAAUUGUUUACAGACAGAUUAUUUCACUUAUAAUUCACUGUAUCACAAUUCCAGUGGGUCAGAAGUUUACAUACUGAGUUGACUGUGCCUUUAAACAGCUUGGAAAAAUCCAUAAAAUUAUGUCAUUGCCUUAGAAGCUUCUAAUAGGCUAAUUGACAUCAUUUGAGUCAGCUGGUGUACCUGUGGAUGUAUUUCAAGGCAGCUUCAUUGUGGUGCUCUUAUUCUUCUCACUUUGCUUGGUGAGGUAGAUUGCUGCUAUAACUUGAACCACAUACAGUGGGGCAAAAAAUUAUUUACUCAGCCACCAAUUGUGUAAGUUCUCCCCCUUAAAAAUAUGAGAGAGGCCUGUAAUUUUCAUCAUAGGUACACUUCAACUAUGAGAGAAAAAAUUUGAAGAAAAAAAUCCAGAAAAUCGCAUUGUAGGAUUUUUAAUGAAUU